Molecule: ribosomal RNA, 766 nt
Filed under: Deltaproteobacteria bacterium
Lineage: Bacteria; Pseudomonadati; Myxococcota; Myxococcia
Description: bacterial SSU rRNA
Rfam family: Bacterial small subunit ribosomal RNA
Source: RNAcentral
AAACUGGAGGGUUUGAUCCUGGCUCAGAACAAACGCUGGCGGCGUGCUUAACACAUGCAAGUCGUACGAGAAACCAGAACUUCGGUUUUGGGAGUAAAGUGGCGCACGGGUGAGUAACGCGUAGGUAAUCUGCCCUUGGGUUUGGAAUAACUCGCCGAAAGGCGUGCUAAUACCGGAUAAAAUCGUUCGGAGGGAUUCGGAAGAUCAAAGGUGGCCUCUCCAUGGAUGCUACUGCCUGAGGAUGAGCCUGCGUCCCAUUAGCUUGUUGGUAGGGUAACGGCCUACCAAGGCCACGAUGGGUAGCUGGUCUGAGAGGAUGAUCAGCCACACUGGAACUGGAACACGGUCCAGACUCCUACGGGAGGCAGCAGUGAGGAAUAUUGCGCAAUGGGGGAAACCCUGACGCAGCGACGCCGCGUGGGUGAAGAAGGCCCUCGGGUCGUAAAGCCCUGUCUAGAGGGAAGAAAUUCUUACCGGAAUAAUACCCGUUAAGAUUGACGGUACCUCUGGAGGAAGCACCGGCUAACUCCGUGCCAGCAGCCGCGGUAAUACGGAGGGUGCGAGCGUUGUUCGGAAUUACUGGGCGUAAAGCGGGUGUAGGCGGUCUGUUAAGUCAGAGGUGAAAGCCCACGGCUCAACCGUGGAAGUGCAACUGAAACUGGCAGACUUGAGUACCGGAGAGGGAAGUGGAAUUCCUGGUGUAGGGGUGAAAUCCGUAGAUAUCAGGAGGAACACCGGUGGCGAAGGCGACUUCCUGGACGGAUAC